RNAcentral lists this ribosomal RNA (460 nucleotides) under uncultured bacterium. RNAcentral describes it as "partial 16S ribosomal RNA". It matches the Rfam family "Bacterial small subunit ribosomal RNA", at positions 338 to 795 of the family's 1533-position model. The record is from RNAcentral.
CCUACGGGAGGCAGCAGUGAGGAAUAUUGGUCAAUGGGCUUACGCCUGAACCAGCCAAGUCGCGUGAGGGAAGACUGCCCUAUGGGUUGUAAACCUCUUUUGUCAGGGAGCAACGCCGGCUACGUGUAGCCGGACUGAGAGUACCUGAAGAAAAAGCAUCGGCUAACUCCGUGCCAGCAGCCGCGGUAAUACGGAGGAUGCGAGCGUUAUCCGGAUUUAUUGGGUUUAAAGGGUGCGUAGGCGGAAUGCCAAGUCAGCGGUAAAAGCGCGGGGCUCAACCUCGCUCCGACGUUGAAACUGGCGUUCUUGAGUGGGCGAGAAGUAUGCGGAAGGCGUGGUGUAGCGGUGAAAUGCAUAGAUAUCACGCAGAACUCCGAUUGCGAAGGCAGCAUACCGGCGCCCAACUGACGCUGAAGCACGAAAGCGUGGGUAUCGAACAGGAUUAGAUACCCCAGUAGUC